GGAGGGUAUAGCUCAGCGGUAGAGUGCAUGCUUAUCAUACAUGAAGUCCUGGGUUCAAGCCCCAGUACCUCCA
Molecule: non-coding RNA, 73 nt
Organism: Camelus dromedarius (Arabian camel)
Lineage: Eukaryota; Metazoa; Chordata; Mammalia; Artiodactyla; Camelidae
Source: the annotation of a RefSeq genome assembly